UACGUAGGGGGCUAGCGUUGUUCGGAAUCAUUGGGCGUAAAGGGCGCGUAGGCGGCCGAUCACGUCGGAGGUGAAAUCCCUCGGCUCAACUGAGGAAUUGCCUUCGAUACUGUUCGGCUUGAGUCCUGGAGAGGGUAGCGGAAUUCCCGGUGUAGCGGUGAAAUGCGUAGAUAUGUGGAGGAACACCGAUGGCGAAGGCAGCCCCCUGGGCUAAGAUUGACGCUCAUGCACGAAAGCGUGGGGAGCAAACAGG
Molecule: ribosomal RNA, 253 nt
Filed under: uncultured bacterium
Lineage: Bacteria
Description: partial 16S ribosomal RNA
Rfam family: Bacterial small subunit ribosomal RNA
Source: RNAcentral